This is a non-coding RNA of Haemonchus contortus (barber pole worm), 82 nucleotides long. Lineage: Eukaryota; Metazoa; Nematoda; Chromadorea; Rhabditida; Trichostrongylidae. The record is from Rfam.
GGCGAGAUGGCCGAGCGGUCUAAGGCGCUGGUUUUAGGCACCAGUCUCUUCGGAGGCGUGGGUUCGAAUCCCACUCUCGUCA